AACGAACGCUGGCGGCAUGCCUAACACAUGCAAGUCGAACGAGACCUUCGGGUCUAGUGGCGCACGGGUGCGUAACGCGUGGGAACCUGCCCUUAGGUUCGGAAUAACUCUCCGAAAGGGGUGCUAAUACCGGAAAAUGUCUUCGGACCAAAGAUUUAUCGCCUUUGGAUGGGCCCGCGUUGGAUUAGCUAGUUGGUAGGGUAAAAGCCUACCAAGGCGACGAUCCAUAGCUGGUCUGAGAGGAUGAUCAGCCACACUGGGACUGAGACACGGCCCAGACUCCUACGGGAGGCAGCAGUGGGGAAUAUUGGACAAUGGGCGAAAGCCUGAUCCAGCAAUGCCGCGUGAGUGAUGAAGGCCUUAGGGUUGUAAAGCUCUUUUACCCGGGAUGAUAAUGACAGUACCGGGAGAAUAAGCUCCGGCUAACUCCGUG
Molecule: ribosomal RNA, 433 nt
Filed under: uncultured bacterium
Lineage: Bacteria
Description: partial 16S ribosomal RNA
Rfam family: Bacterial small subunit ribosomal RNA
Source: RNAcentral